RNAcentral lists this ribosomal RNA (496 nucleotides) under uncultured bacterium. RNAcentral's name for it is "partial 16S ribosomal RNA". It matches the Rfam family "Bacterial small subunit ribosomal RNA", at positions 28 to 523 of the family's 1533-position model. The record is from RNAcentral.
GAUGAACGCUAGCGGCAGGCCUAAUACAUGCAAGUCGAGGGGUAGAAGAGGCUUGCUUCUUUGAGACCGGCGCACGGGUGCGUAACGCGUAUGCAACCUACCUUCAUCUGGGGGAUAGCCCGGAGAAAUCCGGAUUAAUACCGCAUAAAAUCACAGGAUGGCAUUAUCCAAUGAUCAAACAUUUAUGGGAUGGAGAUGGGCAUGCGUGUCAUCAGCUAGUUGGCGGGGUAACGGCCCACCAAGGCGACGAUGACUAGGGGAUCUGAGAGGAUGGCCCCCCACACUGGUACUGAGACACGGACCAGACUCCUACGGGAGGCAGCAGUAAGGAAUAUUGGUCAAUGGAGGCAACUCUGAACCAGCCAUGCCGCGUGCAGGAAGACUGCCCUAUGGGUUGUAAACUGCUUUUAUUCGGGAAUAAACCUUAUUACGUGUAAUAAGCUGAAUGUACCGAAGGAAUAAGGAUCGGCUAACUCCGUGCCAGCAGCCGCCGUAA